GUAGGGUGCAAGCGUUAAUCGGAAUUACUGGGCGUAAAGCGUGCGCAGGCGGUUUUGUAAGUCUGUCGUGAAAGCCCCGGGCUUAACCUGGGAAUUGCGAUGGAGACUGCAAGGCUUGAAUCUGGCAGAGGGGGGUAGAAUUCCACGUGUAGCAGUGAAAUGCGUAGAGAUGUGGAGGAACACCGAUGGCGAAGGCAGCCCCCUGGGUCAAGAUUGACGCUCAUGCACGAAAGCGUGGGGGAGCAAACAGGAUUAGAUACCCUGGUAGUCCACGCCCUAAACGAUGUCUACUAGUUGUCGGGGUUCUUAAUUGACUUGGUAACGCAGCUAACGCGUGAAGUAGACCGCCUGGGGAGUACGGUCGCAAGAUUA
Molecule: ribosomal RNA, 372 nt
Filed under: uncultured organism
Description: partial 16S ribosomal RNA
Rfam family: Bacterial small subunit ribosomal RNA
Source: RNAcentral